GAUGAAGAACGUAGCGAAAUGCGAUACGUAAUGUGAAUUGCAGAAUUCAGUGAAUCAUCGAGUCUUUGAACGCACAUUGCGCCCCCUGGUAUUCCGGGGGGCAUGCCUGUCCGAGCGUCAUUGCUGCCCUCAAGCACGGCUUGUGUGUUGGGCCUCCGUCCUCCUCCCGGGGGACGGGCCCGAAAGGCAGCGGCGGCACCGCGUCCGGUCCUCGAGCGUAUGGGGCUUCGUCACCCGCUCUUGUAGGCCCGGCCGGCGCUUGCCGACACAUCAAUCUUUUUUCCAGGUUGACCUCGGAUCAGGUAGGGAUACCCGCUGAACUUAAGCAUAUCAAUAAAGCGGAGGA
This 346-nucleotide unclassified non-coding RNA is filed under the name soil metagenome. RNAcentral's name for it is "partial contains 5.8S ribosomal RNA, internal transcribed spacer 2, and large subunit ribosomal RNA". The stretch from base 1 to 120 matches the Rfam family "5.8S ribosomal RNA", at positions 35 to 154 of the family's 154-position model. The record is from RNAcentral.